RNAcentral lists this long non-coding RNA (256 nucleotides) under Heterocephalus glaber (naked mole-rat). RNAcentral's name for it is "lncRNA (ENSHGLG00000038786.1)". The record is from RNAcentral. Lineage: Eukaryota; Metazoa; Chordata; Mammalia; Rodentia; Bathyergidae.
CUCAUUUUGGAAAGAAGCUGAAGCACUGUGGUAUCAAAUCCUAUUUCAAGAAAUAGAAGGAGAAAACAACAAAACAACAUGACUACUACCUCUGCCUCCAAUCCCUAAUGGAACUUGAGUUUACCCAUCCUGUGGCUACUGUCUACACAUUUGAGAUAUCCUGUCCAUUAAUACUGCUGCUUCCUUGAGGGCAGAUAUCUAUGGGAGAAAGAACAAAUUCCAGGUGGAAAGCAUGGGCCCAAAGGCCAGUUUACGG